UCCUUCUCAUAGAACCUAAAGAAUUUGAGGAGCAACCACGAUGCUUUAUUAGCCAAAGGUGAUGAACUGAAUGCACAACUUAAAGAGGAAAGGUUAAAGUGCUUCCAUCUUCAAAAAGAAUUGCAAUCAGUAACUAUUUCAAACAGGAGGACAGAAGAGUUACAGGAAAGAAUAAAUUAUCUAGAAAAAGAGAAUGAACUCUUGAAGGAAAACUAUGAUAAGCUGCAUAAUAGUGUCUUCAGCCUGCCCUACGACCAGCAGUGGAAAUCAAAGGAGCAGCAGCUGAAGCUGCAGAUUGCCAAACUAGAGACAGCUAUCAAGUCGGAUUUAGCAGACAAAAAUGAAAUCCUUGACAAGAUUAAAGUAGAAAGAGACCAAAAGGAAAAGCUGAUGCAAGACAACAAGGACCUGCAGUUAUGCUACCUGGAACAAAAGCAACAACUAGAUGAUCUGAAAAAUCAAGUAAAGUUUUUGACCAAGUUUCAGGAAGCUGAUGUUGAUGUGGCAGAACUCAAUGAAGCUCUCGUGCUUAUAAAGG
Long non-coding RNA from Lepidothrix coronata (blue-crowned manakin), 538 nucleotides. RefSeq lists it as uncharacterized. The record is from RefSeq and is a predicted model, not a curated record. The transcript is spliced from 5 exons. NCBI's taxonomy places the organism in Eukaryota, Metazoa, Chordata, Aves, Passeriformes, Pipridae.